This 1435-nucleotide long non-coding RNA is filed under the name Homo sapiens (human). RNAcentral describes it as "non-protein coding lnc-EGFR-6:1". The record is from RNAcentral. Lineage: Eukaryota; Metazoa; Chordata; Mammalia; Primates; Hominidae.
GAUGGUUUCAGAACUUUGCCAAGCAAUUCCUCAACAUAUCUCACUAUGCUCCUCUGCUUACUCGGAUUGUUCUCCAUGACAAGACCCCCAGAAUCAUUCCUUAUCCCAUAUUUAUCUGGACCAAGUGAAAACCCGAGCGCAGAGAUCACGGAUGAGGUCCUUCCUGUUUGGAUACACUCUGCUCCCGGUGUCUGUGCUCUUGAGUCACCACAAGCCCAUCACCCUCUCAUAAGGGCUCUGCUUCAUCAUUCCCCAGCUGCUGCUCUUAUUGGGCUAAGGGAUGAAGACUACACAGGCUGUCGAGUUCUCCUCCAGGAUACUCACUGACUCCCAGGUGGCCUACUCUAUCAACCCAUGAGCAUGGUCAGCCCUGAGACACUGUCAGGAAGUGAGAGGCCACUGUAGGAGUGUCACGCUAACAGCUAACCCAGCGGCCCCCAUGAAGGCUGACGCUUGGCAUCCCUGGAGAAUGGGUCACACUUUUACCUCAUCGCAUAGCCAUAGUCUCUGCCUCCACAGCCUUCAUUUUCUCACUUUUUCUAUCAAUGCCCAAGAAAAGAAUGUUUUUCCAUGCAAAACCCAGCAAAGAAAUAAAGUCCCCAAGCCUGUGUGCAGGGUUAAAGGAACCUCAUGAGAGUGAAGCACUAGGCUGCGAAGGGGAGAAACCCACUUGGGAAAAGCCCACCACUUCGGGGAACCUGGAUGACGGCCCAUAGAGCAUAGUGCCACAAACAGUGACUCUGAAAGUUCGUGUUCCAUGGUUCCAAGAUUUGAAGUAGUGUUACUCCUCAGAGGCCUUUGUUACUAAUCCCCACGGUGGGCUUUUUCCACCACAGGUUUUAACCUAGCUUUGAACUAUGUUCAAGUCCUAUGAGGUUGCAAAGCACCACCCCAAUAUUCUUAUACCUAUAACGGGGCACAGAAGCUACUGAAGCAUUUGGUAGGGCUGUGGCUGCCUGUGCAGUGGGCUAUGUGAAAAUCAACUGGAGUCUCCUGGAGAGUGGGCUCUGGAAGUCUCCUCAGUCAUCAACGCAGGCUCUUGACCUCUCGUGCACUAUAUGACCAAAGUCUACGCAGGCUAUGUGGGCUAUUUGCGAUUCAAGUCCAGCUAUGUGCUGCUUCUAACCCAGGCAGUAUUCCAGACUGCAGUCCAGCUGAGCGUGGAAUGUGUAUCCUGGUGCCCGGAUUCCACACUUCACUGCCUUGGUGAUUCAGCCGACCCUCAUCACUGUGACUGCAAUUCAUCAGAAAGGGCUCAGCCUGUGAUCAGCAUUCAGUUUGUAGUUUAUAGGAGUUAUUUUGCAGUCACUUCUAGAAUUUUCCUAAUAAGAAGAAUAUCUAAUGCCUAUCAGCCAAAUGCCAAGAGGAAGGAGUUCAGAGCCCCGCUAUGAGUCAGAACCCAGAUGGGCCGCACCCAAAGGAGCUGAGCAGUAUC